This 253-nucleotide ribosomal RNA is filed under the name uncultured bacterium. RNAcentral's name for it is "partial 16S ribosomal RNA". It matches the Rfam family "Bacterial small subunit ribosomal RNA", at positions 524 to 776 of the family's 1533-position model. The record is from RNAcentral.
UACGGAGGGUGCAAGCGUUAUCCGGAUUCACUGGGUUUAAAGGGAGCGUAGGCGGGUUGUUAAGUCAGUGGUGAAAGCCCUCAGCUCAACUGAGGAACUGUCAUUGAUACUAAUGAUCUUGAAUGUCGUUGAGGUUUGCGGAAUGGGUCAUGUAGCGGUGAAAUGCUUAGAUAUGACACAGAACACCGAUUGCGAAGGCAGCUCACUAAGCCAUAACUGACGCUGAUGCACGAAAGCGUGGGGAGCAAACAGG